UUCUCGUUAGAUCACCGAAGUCAAGAAUCAUUGGGCGUGGUCAGUACUUGGGAGGGUGACCACCUGGGAACACCGCGUGCCGUU
Non-coding RNA from Caerostris darwini, 84 nucleotides. The record is from the annotation of a GenBank genome assembly. NCBI's taxonomy places the organism in Eukaryota, Metazoa, Arthropoda, Arachnida, Araneae, Araneidae.